Molecule: transfer RNA, 66 nt
Filed under: Ursus thibetanus thibetanus
Lineage: Eukaryota; Metazoa; Chordata; Mammalia; Carnivora; Ursidae
Description: tRNA-Asp
Source: RNAcentral
AAAGAUAUAAAGGAUUUUCACCUAUAAUUUAACCCUGACAAAGUUAUGUAAUUUUACUAAUAUCUC